UACGGAGGGUGCAAACGUUGCUCGGAAUCAUUGGGCGUAAAGCGCACGUAGGCGGUCUAUCAAGUCGGAUGUGAAAGCCCUGGGCUCAACCCAGGAAGUGCACUCGAUACUGUAUGGCUUGAGUACUGGAGAGGUUGGUGGAAUUCUCGGUGUAGAGGUGAAAUUCGUAGAUAUCGAGAGGAACACCGGUGGCGAAGGCGGCCAACUGGACAGAUACUGACGCUGAGACACGAAAGCGUGGGGAGCAAACAGG
This 253-nucleotide ribosomal RNA is filed under the name uncultured bacterium. Its description in RNAcentral is "partial 16S ribosomal RNA". It matches the Rfam family "Bacterial small subunit ribosomal RNA", at positions 524 to 776 of the family's 1533-position model. The record is from RNAcentral.